Molecule: long non-coding RNA, 624 nt
Organism: Oryzias melastigma (Indian medaka)
Lineage: Eukaryota; Metazoa; Chordata; Actinopteri; Beloniformes; Adrianichthyidae
Exons: 2
Source: RefSeq, a predicted model, not a curated record
AAAAUGGCUUUUUAAGACAUUUAGGUUGUGGGAUUUUGGUUAAAAACUUGAUAACCAUAAAACUCUACUGGGAAUGUUUUUGUCAUGGUUCUGCUCUGCUCCUUCACCCCACCCUUUCUUCCUCCACUCUAAUUUCAUUCACCUGUGUUAAUUAAGUUCUCAUUGGGCUCCAGUUGGUGUUCACACUAUUUAAGGUCCUCACUUUCACCUCCUCACUGCCAGUUUGUUGAAUCAGUCACGGUCCCGCUAGUUAAAAUCUUUGUACUUUGAGUCUCUUCAUGGUUUUGACCCUUUUUGGCCUGGUAACGAGUUUAAGCCUUUCUGGAGUUUUUUCUGCCCUGGUUUUUCUUCCUCUGUUUCCAUCCUGAGAGAAGUGAUGUUUCCAGAUCACUCAUCUCCUCACUGAGUAAAGCUGCCCCAACACUGGUCUUCACCCUCCGGUGGAUUCUCAUCCUGUACACAGCAGCAGUGGGGGAAUCUUCCAUCAUUCCUGACACCAUCCGCCCUGCACUCAGACGCUUCAAAGGCUCUUCUCGCACGCCUGCUUCUGGAGUUCUAUGGUCACCUGUGCAUCUGGCGGCCCACUGAUUAAUUCUACCUCCCUAAUAAACACUUUAAUUGUGA